ACUGGGGGACUGUCUCGGGGAUUUACUCGGUGAAAAUGCGAUACCGGUGAAGAUGCCGGUUAAGUGCAGUUAGACGAAAAGACCCCGGAAGCUUUACUGCAAGUUGUUAUUGGCUUUACGUUUUUACUACGUAGCGUAGUGGGGAGGCUUUGAAGUGCCGCUCUCGGGUGGCAUGGAGCCGCCGAUGAAACACCCAUUUUUAAAAAUGUAAAAUCUAACCUGUCCGGCAAAACCGAAUGGGGACAGUAGCUGCUGUGGGGCGCAAGCCUCCUAAAAAGUAACGGAGGCGUUUAUUAAGGUCGGCUAGCUCCGGAUGGACAUCGGAGCGAUAGUGCAAUGGCACAAGCCGGCUUAACUGGAAGUCGGACAUGACGACCAGAUACGAAAGUAGAACAUAGUGAACCGACCGUGGGCACUCGAUGCCGCGGAAGAUUAACGGAUAAAAGCUACUCCGGGGAUAACAGGCUAGUUCCGCCCUGCACUCGUUGAUUCUUGAGGGGGGUUCUUCCUAGUACGAGAGGACCGGAAGGAGGCGACCUCUGGUCUACCUGCUGUUCCGCCAGGAGCACCGCAGGGUAGCUAUGUCGUUGAGUGAUAAGCGCUGAAAGCAUCUAAGCGCGAAGCACGCCCCAAGAUUAGGAAUCGUUAUCAGAUCCGUGGAAGACUACCACGUUGAUAGGCUCCAGGUGUAAGAUCCGCAAGGAUUUCAGCCGAGGAGUACUAAUAGAUCGAGCCG
RNAcentral lists this ribosomal RNA (736 nucleotides) under Candidatus Giovannonibacteria bacterium GW2011_GWA1_44_29. RNAcentral describes it as "bacterial LSU rRNA". It matches the Rfam family "Bacterial large subunit ribosomal RNA", at positions 2007 to 2913 of the family's 2925-position model. Lineage: Bacteria; Candidatus Giovannoniibacteriota. The record is from RNAcentral.